UGGGGUGUAGCCAAGCGGUAAGGCAGCGGGUUUUGAUCCCGCCAGUCGUGGGUUCGAAUCCUACCACCCCAGCCA
Molecule: transfer RNA, 75 nt
Filed under: Holosporaceae bacterium
Lineage: Bacteria; Pseudomonadati; Pseudomonadota; Alphaproteobacteria; Holosporales; Holosporaceae
Description: tRNA-Gln
Rfam family: tRNA
About the family: Transfer RNA (tRNA) molecules are approximately 80 nucleotides in length. Their secondary structure includes four short double-helical elements and three loops (D, anti-codon, and T loops).
Source: RNAcentral